This is a long non-coding RNA of Dermochelys coriacea (leatherback sea turtle), 3754 nucleotides long. RefSeq lists it as uncharacterized. The transcript has 4 exons. Lineage: Eukaryota; Metazoa; Chordata; Testudines; Dermochelyidae. The record is from RefSeq and is a predicted model, not a curated record.
AGAAAAAGGGCUAGAACAGGCCAGAGAGGCUGCACAGACCAGCAGCCAAUCAGCAAGGGUCUGUGGAGAGCCAAUCAGGCCAAAGGAAGAGGCAGCCAAUCAGGGCUAGGCUGGGUCCUAUAUAAAGGCUGUCUGGCAAAGGAGAGAGCAAUUGCUCCCUGACUAGCAAGGGAGGAGGACUGGUUCCUGAGGUAAAGAGGUAGCAUCUUGACAGAGCAGUACUGGGCAGGCUCAGAGGAGCAGAGGAGAACUCCGAUCCAGAUACCUGCCAGGCUGCGGCCCCUGCUAAGAAGGGCUGAGAAGGUGCACAGGGCCAAAGGGGUAGGGCCCAGGGAAGAUAGGCAGACAAGAGAGGAGGGCAGAGAGAGGCUGCUGUUAGAGGAUCCCUGGGCCAGAACCCAGACUAGAGGGUGGGCCUGGGUCCCCCCUUGCACUGUACCUAGCCACAGAGGAGUGUGGCCAAGACAGACUGUAACUUGCUCCUGAGGUGAGAGGCUAGACUUUGGGGUUGUGGUUGGCCACUGAGGCAGGUGCAAGCCAAAGGACUGUUGUUACCCCUCCCCCCCACCCACGAAGGGGGUGAGAACGUAGUUGGGACAUUGCCAGGGGCAGUGUCCUGAAGCGGACACCACUGAGCAGGGAGCAAGGCGGUUCCUGAGAGGCAGAGAAGACAAUGGGCGAGACACCAUAUGCAGAGGGUGCGCUGCAGGGAACGAGCUAAUUCCCAGAGCAGCCAGCAGGAGGCGCCAGCAGUGAGAACCUUCCACUGAUACUGAGUCAGCUCUUGGAUUGUGGAGCAUAGCUAAGGAAGAGAUAUCUGGAGAGAGCUAUCCUUGUACCCUGGUGAUCUUUAGCUGCCACAACAUCCCCUUACAGUGUUUAAUGCAUAAGCCCUGGUAGUGAGUGAGAACCCGGACCAAUCAUUACAGCCAGUUCCCUGGAGCCUUGGGGAAGACUAUGACCCUGAGGAAGGAACAUCCUGAGCAACAUGGCUGCCAACCCCCCACCACCACCACCAGGGAAACAAGAGGUAGGACCAGUGGACUAUGAGAUAAGACUACCUGGAAGGAGAAAAGAAACCAAGAUUCAUCAUAUGAAAUUUCUCAGAGUGGAAGAUGCAGGAGGCCCUGCUGAUAACUCCCCCUCUGGAACCUGAAUUAGGCCCCCAAGUACCCAGUGGCCAAGAGCUGAUAACAAUACUGGGGGGGAAGAGGGCUGUGCAAAGGAAGCAGCUCCUUCAAAUGAUUGAGAACUUUGUGACUGUAUUCUGCACCCACCUAGGGAGAACUCACUUUUGUCCAACAUCUUAGAGACCACCUUAGGCCAACUAGUCAGGGAGAACCCUAGAUCACUGCCCACAAGGGAUGUGGGAUACAGUCCAAGAGGAAGUGCAAGUGAUGCUAGAGAUGGGGGCAAUUGUAGAAUUCAAAAGUGAAUGGAGAAGCCCUAUAGUUAUCAUUCCCAAACUGGACAGUUCAAUUUGUUUUUGCAUUGACCUUGUGAGUGUUAAUUCCAUCUCAAAAUUUGAUGCUUACCCAAUGCCAAGGGUAGACAAGUUACUAGAGUGGCUGGGAUUGGUGAAGCACCUGAGCACUAUCAACUGAACAGAAGGUUAUUUGGCAGAUUCCUUUAUUCCCUGUCUUGCAAGGAAAAAACCAAACUUCUCCACCCCCUUGGGGCACUUUGAAUUCAAGGCUCAAUGCCUUUUAGCCUUCAUGGAGCUGCUGCAACUUUCCAGUGCUUAUAAAUAGGAUCCUCCGCCCUCACCAUCAACAUGCUAGAGACUAUAUAGAUGACAUCAACAUCUAUAGUCCCACCUAGGAAGAUCACCUACAGCACUUAAAGGCAGUGUUAAAAGCCCUCUAGGAUGCAGCCCUCUAUGGCCAACCCUGAAAAAUAUAGGUUAGCCAUUGAUAAAACAACCUAUUUGGGGUACCAUGUAGGAGGCAGUCUUAUGAAACCAGCAGUUAACAAGGUACAGGCCCUAAUAGCAUGCUCUAAUCCCCAGACAGAGGCAAGUGAGGCAUUUUCUCAACCUGGCAGGAUAUUACUGGACAUUUGUCUCUGGUUUCACUGCAAUUGCCCCCAGUUCAGACCUCAUAAAAGGCAAAAACUCUAAGAGGAUCCAAUGGGAUGAGAAAUGCAAGGAAGCUUUUAGUGAGCUGAAAACUGUGCCAGGUGCCCGUGCUCUUCAGCCCCACUUUUUCCUGGGAAUUCAUACUGCACACAGACUCCUCGGAUGUCUGACGUGGUGUCAUACUCUCACACAACUUUGGAGGUGGAGAACACCCAAUCCUGUAUCUGUGUACGAAGCUGUUUCCUGGAGAAAAAUCUUAAUCAAUUAUUAAAGAGGCAUUAGUGAUUAAAUAGGCUGUAGAUUCCCUCAGGGUAGCCCCUUCUCUCUAGUCACAUAUCAUGCUCCCCUAAGCUGAAUCCAUACCAUGAAAGGCACAAGCCCACGUAUAAUGAGUUGGUACCUUGUACUGUAAAACAAUAGGGUUGUAGUACCACCCUGGGUGGGAAAGGACACUGAUUUAUUUUCACGGGAGUUCGGAAAUGAAGACAAGCCAUCGCAGAACAGCCUUUCCAGCUAGAGGGAUGGGGUAUGUGAAGGGCCACGCUCUCACUCUGCGGGAGAGGAAGCUAACAAGUUCUUCUGGGCCUCUUCAGCUCUAACAAAGGUAUGUUCUGCCUGGAGAGAGAGGAGCUUAAAAAGGAAAAACCUGGAACAGGAAAGGGUGGUGAAUAGAAGGUGCUCAAUAUCAGAAAGUGGCUGACCUGUCUCUGCUGUCAGCAAGAGGAAAACAGUCACAGGCUUCACCACUUCUGAAGCUGCAAAGCAGUAUGUCCCAAGAGGAAGUGCUGGAGGUAGACCCCACUAAAAGACAACAAAUACUCUGAUAGACCAAGCACAAAGAGCUGAAUCCAGAAUCCAGAGCUGCCUUAGACAGGCUACCUUUGCCUUUCUUAGUUUUUCCUCUCCCAUAAGGGAAAGAGGUGGGAGAGGACCCUUCUUUUGUCUGAUUGUUUUACUCAGAGAAUCCCUCAUAUGCUACAGACUUGGGGUGAUGACAUUAUAAAUGACUGGAAACUGGGACUCGAGGGAGCCCAUGCCCCCCCCCACAGCCCCACCACAAGUCGUAUUCUAGUCUCUGGUCUCAGCCUAGCCCCCUUAAUAUCCUUUGGGCUACCAUUCCUGGCUGACAGAUUUGUCUAAUCAUGUCUCCAGUAGCACCUAUCCAUGGCCUGUGCCCAGUGGGCACCUUCACAUGCAUAUGAGCUCAGCAUAAAGCCACCUCUGAUAUAAGACAAGUUCAGAACAUUCCCCACCCUCGCCUUGCAGUUGCUCUAUGCAGUCUGCUCACCUCACAGAGGUCAGCAGCACAGAGAAUACUGUGAAUCAGGUCCACCAAAUGGGCCUUACUUCCCAAUUUUUUUUUCAUGUGUCUGUUACUUUGUUGCCUAUAAAAAAAAAAGUCAUUUCAUUUUCUAAAUCUAGUGGAAAUUAAUACAAAUAUUCUAAACAAAAAAGAAAGAGUUGAUUCUUUCAAAAGCUCUUACAUUAGACAAGCAGUACUUCUGGCUCAUUCAGACACCGCUUGUUAGAAUGUAUCCUGGUCACCAAAGAGCUUCAGGCCAAGCAAGCAAUCUUCUGCUCUUCCUGCUUUGCUGCCUACAUGUGUCCUGCUCAAUUAAUAAACUGUAUGUUAUUUUUCCCUUUGCUCUCCCUUCAUGUGUUGGCACUAAAAUUGAA